RNAcentral lists this long non-coding RNA (4488 nucleotides) under Taeniopygia guttata (zebra finch). Its description in RNAcentral is "lncRNA (ENSTGUG00000024829.1)". Lineage: Eukaryota; Metazoa; Chordata; Aves; Passeriformes; Estrildidae. The record is from RNAcentral.
AAAAUAUUCUUCAAGUUCAAGCUUGUGAUCGCAUCUGCUCCUAUCUGCCAGCAUCCAUAACCUUUUCCUUAGAAAUAGUUCUUAGCACUUUGCCAAGGUGUCAUGAUAAGAACGAAGUGGAGGAAAAUGCAGUUUCUAACAACGUUCAUUGAAUCCUCCAAGUAAUGAUCCUUGGCUUCCUCUCCUGACAAAAUAUGCUUGAUAUGGUGCCUUUUUGAUCUCCUGAUACGGGUAUAAAAAUUACCUUCCUCCUUAUUCUUUUGAUGCAAUUUUAAAUGCUGUUGUUCCCAACAGGAAGUUUGAUGGUCUGGCUUGACAGGUUUAACAAGCUGAGCACCACUGGCCUAUUUCUUUGAUGAUAAAUGGAAGGGGAAGUAAGUGGGGAAUAAGCUACAGGUGCACUAUCUCCUUGGGUGACCACAGUCAUUCUUUGGGGUUAUGAGCCUGUUUGAACCUCUCUCUGCUUGUAAACAAACUUGUGAACAAACUGCUAGUAAACAAGCUAGUAAACACCUGGUAAACUCUGGCAAGACACAGCUAAACUCCUGCAGCCUCCAAAACAAGGUAUCUGCAUCCAAACUGCCAAUUGGGAAUAAUCUGCAGCCUUUGUCAGUCCCCAAACCAUGCACAGGCAUUGUCUGGAAGAACAUCUGACAACCAGAACCAGGGCUGUGCUGGCAGCUUCACAGCACAGGAAGCAACAGAAACACCUGUUCCAAAUCUGUGUCCAGGCCUAGGCUUUGUAUUCUUUGGGUAAGGUGUAAAUCGUGCUUUGUUCCUUAACUUUUCUUCAGUGUGAUUCUUGGAGUCAAAAAAGAGGUUCAAGAUGCCUCUCCCAAGCUUCCUGCUCUGGGAAUGAUAGUAAGGGGUGUUUCCAUUACUGCCAUGAGCUAUGACUGUGCUUUUUGGUACUGUGAUAGAAGGCUGACAUGGCAGUGGUAUCUAAAAUGUUUUAUAACACUGUUUUUCUAGUCAUCCUUUCCUGCAGCUUAUGUCAGCCUUACUUUGUAAAAUUUUAUCUGAAGUUCUUCAAUCACACAUAAAAAUUAGAGAAUGGCAAUUAUAUUGGCCUGGUUAAAAAUCUUACAAUACUGUGGCUUGGAAUGCUUACUUUUUCCAGGCUUCAUAGAAAAGGCAUUUUUGGUAUCAAGUAAGCUUCUUUCACUGUCUCCAGGAAAUCAUAUCUUGGCCAAAUAAUAAACUCUGACUAAUUUUAAUUUGAACACCCUCAGUAGAAGCUUGUUCUCUUGGCAGCUAAAUUCCUGGCUGUGACAUCUGCAAUGUCAGCCCUCCAGCUUCUCUCUGCAAGCUCAUCUGCUUCUGUGCAGCUCCAUGCUGAAGCCCAGGGCUGGCACCUUCUCCUCUGGAGCAUGGAGCACUACAGGGUGUGGAGUGGGGAGCAGGGCCAGCAGGAGUGAAAGCUGGACGCUUGGACUUAAUAUUAUAGGGAGGAAGGAGCUGUGAGGAAGGUGUGUAAGCAGAGAGAAAGCAGAACCAGCAUCCAUACAGAUUUUUAUGUCUGUUCUUUCUCAUCCAACACUGAAACAAUCCAAGGCUUUCUGGAACCUCCAUGCUUAUUUGUUGGCAAGUGUCUGUAUUAUCUGGUGAUGAAGGAUGUACCCUACAUCCCUCAAAUUUGUUGAUUGAGUUUUUACCUCAUGCAACUGAUCCCUCUGGAUGAUAACAGACAUCUACUGCUACCAAUUACUUAUUAGCACAUGAGGUAGAGAUCUGUACUUCAGACCUAAUAGGUUUCAGUUCCAUUUGGAGGUCACUAGGGUUUCAUAUAAUAUAAUUUCAUUUCAAUUAUCAUGGGAAGUGACUUGGUAAUUCCAGUAAAUGACUAGGUACUUAAAGCAAACCUGUCUGGAAAUACAGAUUUCUGUCCAGCUGGAAGUUUUAACAAUUGACUUUUUACUUGAGACAAAACAGAAAAAAAGUUACUGCAUUUUCGUGAUAGAGUAUUAAAACAAAUGCCCUUCUAAGUUUUCUCAGUGAGUUAUGUCCUCAAAGGAUUAACAUGAAGAAAAUAGGGUGAUCAAAGAUUUUAUGGAAGGAUGACUUUGAUCUCAUAGAUGGUAUAAGGUAGGACUUAAUCCAAAAUUACCAUGCUGUGUGGAUUAAUUAAAGGAAACAAAUGUGAGAAAGCUUGUUCUACUCUUGAACAGCUCAUUUAGCUUGUCUUUAAUGCAAAUUGUCAAUGAUGUUCCUGUCAUGAAAAUAAAUCUCAUUAAAAAUACAUCACUCGUUCACACACAUAUAAACCAAGGAAAGAGUGUGCUCCUACCAGAUGAAAUUGAUGUUACUCAGCUGCAGAGUGAAGGUGAUGUGGGUUUCAAAAUGCAGACACUCUUGCUCUUGUCUGGGUUUACAUUUUCUGAAAGAUCUUUCUAUUUCCCUCAGUGGGCUAUUGGAGUCCUUAAUGAACAUGGAAGAAGAGCAAGAAGAGCCUGAAACCCUCAUUCCCUCUUUACUAGUGGACUCAUAUUGCCAAAGGUUAUAUGUCCUUAGGCUACAACUUCCCUGAGAUUUUCUAUAACUUUCCAUUGAAUGGAAGUUCAGAUAAAAUGAAACUGUGAAAGCAAAUACUAUUUGAAACUGUAUAAAAAUGUAAAAAGUUAUAUUUGGCUUAUAAAUCAUGACAUCAUAUUAUUAUUAUUCUCUUGGAGCAGUUUAUGGAGCAGUAAAGCUAGAAUGCUGUACAGAGAUGAAAGUCAAUAUCUAUCUCCAUCCCUACACCAACAUUAGUAGGAAAUAUUACUAGACAUUGCAAGCUAGGAAAGAAAUAAGAAGAAUAUUAACAAGAGCCUUUUUUCCAUAUUAUAGUUCCAUAUUAAAAACCAAGCACGUAUGUAGUCUUUCUUUGUAUACUUACAGAAUUUCUUCCCUACAGAGCAAUAAAGAGGCAGAGAUUCCCAAACGUUUGGUUGCAUGAGGCCUGACAAUUGAAACAUCAGGGAUACCUGGAGAGGCAGUGAUCUCCCCUCCACUGUAAGGUGAGAAUCUCUACAGCUACACAUUUCUAUGGGAAACAGACACAGAAAGAAUUCUAAUGUUUUCAUUGCGUAUUAAAACAUAUGUGUGAAGGUCACAGCAAAGCCUUUGUUUCAUAUUUAUGGUCCCAAAGGCUUUAUCCAUUCAUUCUGCAUAUGCUUUCCAGGCUGAGGUCACAGCUUGGUCACCUCAGCGAACCUCAGGUCAGGCCCCUGACCAGGAAGCGAGUAAGAUACGAACAAACAAGCAGGCUGUUUGGCACGUUAAAUUCUAGUCGGUGUCUGGUACGGCCAGGAGGUGGCAGGGCAAGUCUGAUUUACCACGUCUGAGUGUCAGACUCUGGGUAUUUUCCAAUCUUGACUCUGUGGAAACAUGGUGAGUUCCUGCAGUUCUCCCAUUUGCACCGUUUAGUGGCAACUGCCUGCAUACCACUCACAACAUUUGCAAGGCUAUAAAGAGGCUUCCAGCAAACUUCCAGAGCUCUCUAGGAAAUGAUGGCUGGUAUUGUUUUUCCUUUUUUUUCUUUUUUUUUUUUUCUUUCUUUCUCUUUUUUAAUUAUAAUUUUGCACUGCUGACUCAACUCUGCUGUUCACUGGCAGUAUGGCCAACACAUCCUUUCAGAGUCAAGAAUGAGUCUUCCUUGUGUGCACAUCCUUGCAAGCAAGUGACACUGACCUUGCCCACAACAGCACAGAGUGACAAAAGCACAUCAUUCAAGCAAUGACACAGAAAUGUGUAAUACAUAACUGUUAAUACAGCUGCCUCAUCUUUCUCUUCUUGUUACUCCUUCACAUAGUAAGUGACCCACGUGAUAACCAGAGAGAAACCAUUUGGGAUGGCAGAGCAGAUGAAGGGAGACAAAGCAAAUAGAGAGUGACAAACUGGCCAAUAUCAGCUGGGGUACUUUUUCUAUCCAUUUCACCUGCAGUCAGCUCUGGGUUGGGUCAGUAGAUGAUGGGGGUUACUGAAGGAAAGAAACCAGACAUUGCACCAAAGUGCUGCCAAUAAUUUGGUAAUCUAAACUGUAUCUGAUUGUAAAUUACUCUAUUUAAAAAGCAAUAGGCUUCAGCAAAACCUGUCUUUUUCUUAAGAGCUACUGGUGCUGGUUAGUAACAAACCCCCAAAGUUUAUUAACAGAAAGCAACCCCAAAAUCUCUCUGUGUUAGGUUUAAUGGGCUGCAGCAACCCCAGGAUAGAUACUGGUGCCUUCACAAAAGAAGGCAUUUACUGUCUUCUGCCUCUUGUGCAGAUUUUUUUGUAUGUCUGUGUCCCUGGAGCAGCUGUGAGAGAAGAGAUAGAUGGAAGGGCAAGAAGAGAAGGUAAUAAUAAUUUUCUUAGGUUUGAUCACUUCUGAGAAAACACAGGAUCACUUUUGGUCUUGCUGUUUUAAGGGACUCAAAAGCCUGAUGGGUAGCAAUGGAGAUAGAGAGAAGAAGCUCCUUUAGUUAGGACUGCAAGAGAAAUUGAUGAUGCAGAGGUUUUUGUGCACAGGGU